Molecule: ribosomal RNA, 236 nt
Filed under: Pelobates cultripes (western spadefoot toad)
Lineage: Eukaryota; Metazoa; Chordata; Amphibia; Anura; Pelobatidae
Description: SSU_rRNA_microsporidia
Rfam family: Eukaryotic small subunit ribosomal RNA
Source: RNAcentral
CCCAGCUCAUCAUGCUAGAGCACUUUUUCAAUGGGCUCCCCAACGACAAGGUUACGACGCAUUCAUAUGUCAUCCAUAUCAACUUUCGAUGCCAAUUACUUCGCCUACCAUGGUGACCACGGGUAACGGGGAAUCAGGGUUCGAUUCCUAAGAGGGAGCCUGAGAAACGGCUACCACAUUCAAGGAAGGCAGCAGGAGCGCAAAUGACCCACUCCCGACGCAGGAAGGUAGUGACG